UACGUAGGGUGCAAGCGUUAUCCGGAAUUAUUGGGCGUAAAGAGCUCGUAGGCGGUUUGUCGCGUCUGCCGUGAAAGUCCGGGGCUCAACUCCGGAUCUGCGGUGGGUACGGGCAGACUAGAGUGCAGUAGGGGAGACUGGAAUUCCUGGUGUAGCGGUGAAAUGCGCAGAUAUCGGGAGGAACACCUGUGGCGAAGGCAGCUCGCUGGGACGGUACUGACGCUGAGGCGCGAAAGCGUGGGGAGCAAACAGG
RNAcentral lists this ribosomal RNA (253 nucleotides) under uncultured bacterium. RNAcentral describes it as "partial 16S ribosomal RNA". It matches the Rfam family "Bacterial small subunit ribosomal RNA", at positions 524 to 776 of the family's 1533-position model. The record is from RNAcentral.